GUGGGGAAUCUUGCGCAAUGGGCGAAAGCCUGACGCAGCCAUGCCGCGUGAAUGAUGAAGGUCUUAGGAUUGUAAAAUUCUUUCACCGGGGACGAUAAUGACGGUACCCGGAGAAGAAGCCCCGGCUAACUCCGUGCCAGCAGCCGCGGUAAUACGAAGGGGGCUAGCGUUGCUCGGAAUUACUGGGCGUAAAGGGCGCGUAGGCGGACAGCUUAGUCAGAGGUGAAAGCCCAGGGCUCAACCUUGGAAUUGCCUUUGAUACUGGCUGUCUUGAGUUUGGGAGAGGUGAGUGGAACUCCGAGUGUAGAGGUGAAAUUCGUAGAUAUUCGGAAGAACACCAGUGGCGAAGGCGACUCACUGGCCCAAUACUGACGCUGAGGCGCGAAAGCGUGGGGAGCAAACAGGAUUAGAAACCCGUGUAGUCC
RNAcentral lists this ribosomal RNA (425 nucleotides) under uncultured bacterium. Its description in RNAcentral is "partial 16S ribosomal RNA". It matches the Rfam family "Bacterial small subunit ribosomal RNA", at positions 354 to 796 of the family's 1533-position model. The record is from RNAcentral.